CCCUUAGAUGUUCUGGGCUGCACGCGCGCUACACUGAUGCGUUCAACGAGUUUUUGACCUUGCCUGACACGGUUGGGUAAUCUUGUUAAAACGCAUCGUGAUGGGGAUAGAUUAUUGCAAUUAUUGAUCUUCAACGAGGAAUUCCUAGUAAGCGUGAGUCAUCAGCUCGUGCUGAUUACGUCCCUGCCCUUUGUACACACCGCCCGUCGCUCCUACCGAUUGAAUGGUCCGGUGAAGCGUUCGGACCGUGGCCUUUGGACGGUUCGCCGUCUGUUGGCUGCGGGAAGUUCGUUAAACCUUAUCAUUUAGAGGAAGGAGAAGUCGUAACA
This 329-nucleotide ribosomal RNA is filed under the name uncultured eukaryote. RNAcentral describes it as "partial 18S ribosomal RNA". It matches the Rfam family "Eukaryotic small subunit ribosomal RNA", at positions 1470 to 1796 of the family's 1831-position model. The record is from RNAcentral.